This 251-nucleotide ribosomal RNA is filed under the name Gephyromantis grosjeani. RNAcentral describes it as "partial 12S ribosomal RNA". The record is from RNAcentral. Lineage: Eukaryota; Metazoa; Chordata; Amphibia; Anura; Mantellidae.
AUUGUCGAUGAUCCACGAUAUACCUCACCAUUUUUUGCCUUUCCCAGCCUGUAUACCUCCGUCGAAAACUCACCAUAUGAAUGUACUAAAGUAGGUCUAAUUGCCUCACACGCCAACACGUCAGGUCAAGGCGCAGCCUAUAAAAUGGAAAGCAGCGGGCUACAAUUUCUAAUAUAAAACAAACGAAAUACUACAUGAAACAUAGUCAUGAAGGAGGAUUUAGUAGUAAAAGAAAGACAGCAAACUUCUUU